CCUACGGGAGACAGCAGUGAGGAAUAUUGGUCAAUGGACGAGAGUCUGAACCAGCCAAGUAGCGUGAAGGAUGACGGCCCUAUGGGUUGUAAACUUCUUUUAUAUGGGAACAAAACAGGGUACGCAUACCCGCUUGUAUGUACCUUAAGAAUAAGGAUCGGCUAACUCCGUGCCAGCAGCCGCGGUAAUACGGAGGAUCCGAGCGUUAUCCGGAUUUAUUGGGUUUAAAGGGAGCGUAGGCGGAUUGUUAAGUCAGUUGUGAAAGUUUGCGGCUCAACCGUAGAAUUGCGGUUGAAACUGGCAGUCUUGAGUGCAGUAGAGGUAUGCGGAAUUCGUGGUGUAGCGGUGAAAUGCUUAGAUAUCACGAAGAACUCCGAUUGCGAAGGCAGCUCACUGGACUGCCACUGACGCUGAUGCUCGAAAGUGUGGGUAUCAAACAGGAUUAGAUACCCUUGUAGUC
Molecule: ribosomal RNA, 460 nt
Filed under: uncultured bacterium
Lineage: Bacteria
Description: partial 16S ribosomal RNA
Rfam family: Bacterial small subunit ribosomal RNA
Source: RNAcentral